Molecule: ribosomal RNA, 578 nt
Filed under: Apiotrichum montevideense
Lineage: Eukaryota; Fungi; Basidiomycota; Tremellomycetes; Trichosporonales; Trichosporonaceae
Description: partial large subunit ribosomal RNA
Rfam family: Eukaryotic large subunit ribosomal RNA
Source: RNAcentral
GAUUCCCCUAGUAACGGCGAGUGAACCGGGAAAAGCUCAAAUUUGAAAUCUGGCUGUCUUCGAUAGUCCGAGUUGUAAUCUAUAGAAGCGUUUUCCGUGCUGAACUGUGUCUAAGUCCCUUGGAACAGGGUAUCAAAGAGGGUGAUAAUCCCGUACUUGACACAACCAUCAGUGCUCUGUGAUACGUUCUCUACGAGUCGAGUUGUUUGGGAAUGCAGCUCAAAAUGGGUGGUAAAUUCCAUCUAAAGCUAAAUAUUGGCGAGAGACCGAUAGCGAACAAGUACCGUGAGGGAAAGAUGAAAAGCACUUUGGAAAGAGAGUUAAACAGUACGUGAAAUUGUUGAAAGGGAAACGAUUGAAGUCAGUCGUGUUCAUUGGAUUCAGCUAGUUCUUCUAGUCUACUUCCUUUGAACGGGUCAACAUCAGUUUUGUCCGGUGGAUAAAGGAUUUAGGAAUGUGACUCCCUCGGGAGUGUUAUAGCCUAGGUUCACAUACACUGGGUGAGACUGAGGACUGCAGCUCGCCUUUUGGCCGGGGUUCGCCCACGUUCGAGCUUAGGAUGUUGACAUAAUGGCUUU